CUACGGAGGGUGCAAGCGUUACUCGGAAUCACUGGGCGUAAAGCGCGCGCAGGCGGGCUGAUAAGUUGGAUGUGAAAGCCUACGGCUCAACCGUAGAACUGCAUCCAAAACUGUCAGUCUAGAGUGUGGGAGAGGAAGAUGGAAUUAGUUGUGUAGGGGUAAAAUCCGUAGAGAUAACUAGGAAUACCAAAAGCGAAGGCAAUCUUCUGGAACACUACUGACGCUGAGGCGCGAAGGCGUGGGGAGCAAACAGGAUUAGAUACCCCAGUAGUCC
Molecule: ribosomal RNA, 274 nt
Filed under: uncultured bacterium
Lineage: Bacteria
Description: partial 16S ribosomal RNA
Rfam family: Bacterial small subunit ribosomal RNA
Source: RNAcentral